GCGGAUGUGGCCUAGUGGUUGGGCGACUGCUUUCCACGCAGUUCAGCCGGGUUCGAUUCCUGGUAUCCGCUCCA
RNAcentral lists this transfer RNA (74 nucleotides) under Hydrogenophaga aromaticivorans. RNAcentral's name for it is "tRNA-Gly". It matches the Rfam family "tRNA". Rfam says of the family: Transfer RNA (tRNA) molecules are approximately 80 nucleotides in length. Their secondary structure includes four short double-helical elements and three loops (D, anti-codon, and T loops). Further hydrogen bonds mediate the characteristic L-shaped molecular structure. tRNAs have two regions of fundamental functional importance: the anti-codon, which is responsible for specific mRNA codon recognition, and the 3' end, to which the tRNAs corresponding amino acid is attached (by aminoacyl-tRNA synthetases). tRNAs cope with the degeneracy of the genetic code in two manners: having more than one tRNA (with a specific anti-codon) for a particular amino acid; and 'wobble' base-pairing, i.e. permitting non-standard base-pairing at the 3rd anti-codon position. The record is from RNAcentral. Lineage: Bacteria; Pseudomonadati; Pseudomonadota; Betaproteobacteria; Burkholderiales; Comamonadaceae.